CAGCCGCCGCGGUAAUACGGAGGGUGCAAGCGUUACUCGGAAUUACUGGGCGUAAAGCGUGCGUAGGUGGUGGUUUAAGUCCGUUGUGAAAGCCCUGGGCUCAACCUGGGAAUUGCAGUGGAUACUGGGUCACUAGAGUGUGGUAGAGGAUAGUGGAAUUUCCGGUGUAGCAGUGAAAUGCGUAGAGAUCGGAAGGAACAUCUGUGGCGAAGGCGACUAUCUGGGCCAACACUGACACUGAGGCACGAAAGCGUGGGGAGCAAACAGGAUUAGAUACCCCCGUAGUCCCUGUCUCUUAUAC
This 301-nucleotide ribosomal RNA is filed under the name uncultured bacterium. RNAcentral's name for it is "partial 16S ribosomal RNA". It matches the Rfam family "Bacterial small subunit ribosomal RNA", at positions 509 to 807 of the family's 1533-position model. The record is from RNAcentral.